Molecule: long non-coding RNA, 1055 nt
Organism: Malus domestica (apple)
Lineage: Eukaryota; Viridiplantae; Streptophyta; Magnoliopsida; Rosales; Rosaceae
Source: RefSeq, a predicted model, not a curated record
UUGGAUGCAACAAAGGGCUGAGAUUAGAAACAGAACCCCGAAAAGUGUAGUGAACUCGGCUUCUUCUCCAGAAUCUCCACUGCCGUUACAAAGCUUUCUCCUCCUCCUCCGCCUCCUCCUGCAGCCACAGUCCACCAACAUAGCUUCUCUUCCUUCUCUAAUUUGGUACUUCUGUUCUGCUCAUACAAUCAAACCCAAAGAAUCGACGUUUUUGUUGGUUUCGUUUGGAGUCACGACUCUGGAGGAUACAAGUGGAAGGAAUGCAGCAACAGAAAUUGAUUUGGGGAUGGGUUUUCAUCGCCUCUGGCUCCCUUUUCUUUCUGGGUUUUCUCUACGCCGCCGUGAUAUCCAAGCUUCUUCCGCCUUCAGAUAAUCCUAUCGUCUCCGCGAUCCAAAGCGACCGGUAUUAUUGCUUCUUGGUGCCCUUGACUCUGCCGGUCCUUGUGGUAGCUGUAUAUUUUCACUGGCUCAGCAUGAAACUGUUCAAGCAUGCAUGAUUUUUUCUCCAUCCCAUCGUCACCAUCAGUUAUGUUGGAAAGCCAUGGAAUUUUGUUGCUAACUUUUAUGACUUGAGAUUUAGCCAAGGGAGGAUACUUUCUUCAUUUAAGCCUCCUCGAUUAAGAUAAAGCACUUUCCCCGCCACUCAAACCCUGUGCAGACCGGGAAGGCUGUAACCUCUACAACCGUUGCAAGGGUACGUAUCUCUUUACCCUGUUUUGGACACACACACUAUUUGUCAAACCCUUAAUUGUAAUAUCCGGAAAGUUCUAUGUGCCGAACUUUAUGUUAAAUUUUCAUUUGAAUAGCUAGAUAUUGCACUCAAUUUAUGUUCGUUGAGGCAGUUUUCCUGCAAAUGUGGGUAUGUGCCGAACAUAUGAUACGAUAUUGAAGGCUACCGUACUUUUUGCCGGAAAUUACACAUUUUUAGCAUGCAAUCUGGGUUCUGAUUGUAUUUACUAGGUGGGUACUUACAAAUGUAGGUACAUGUAUUACCACAAGCUGAUGAAACACCACAGUAAAAUAAAGGAGGGAGGCCAAAUUUUGUGCCAUUUUAA